GUGAUACUUAUGUGGAACAUUGGCCAGAAGAACGCUGAGGCACAUUCACUUAAGUGGCAUUCUUACGUGGACCGGUAUGCCCACGGCAUCAAGUGAGAAGCCGCCACCAGAGUGCUUCCCACCCCACCAGGGACACCUGGUUGCCUGUCCCGGCUAGUCUGUGUCACACACCUGCUAGAUAUCAUGGACAGAAGAGAGGAAGAGGAAACGGCUCAGCAAAUUAGAUGACUCAAAAAGGGACUUGGUUUUUAUGAACUUCAAUAUGAGAACAGAAGGUGCCUUUAUCAUUUGAAGAGUAUAUAAUAUUGCAGAGUGAUCACGGUUCUGGACAACAGCUCUGGGGUUCUAGGACUGUGUCCCAGCCCCAUGACUUAAACAACCACCCAGCCUCGCCAGUGCUGAUACCUCUGAGAAAGUGGAAAUUGGUGAGAUUGUCUCAGUGUCCUGGUGCUGCCAAACUCCUGGGACUAUGUGUUAUCACUGUGUAGCAAGUACACAGGGAAGUCUGGGUUUAAAGUCAUUUUAGUUUUAAAUGUAAACAGCCUUGAUUGAUUUUAUUUGAAUUUUCUAAAAGGUGUAUUUCACCCUCAGACCAUCUGCAUGUACUCGGAACAUAUGAACAUAUGUACAAGACCUAGUGUUAGAUAUGUGAAUGUGAAAGUUUUCAACUUACUAUAAGUUGCUUUUAUCCUUACCUCUUUGAACAGAUCCAUUUCCCCCCAAACUCGCUAGAACAAGGUCCACCACGAUUGGCUGCUGGUUUCAGACCCCAC
Molecule: long non-coding RNA, 773 nt
Organism: Heterocephalus glaber (naked mole-rat)
Lineage: Eukaryota; Metazoa; Chordata; Mammalia; Rodentia; Bathyergidae
Source: Ensembl